CCUUCUACCUUUCAUUUAAUAAUAAGUAUUUAACUACUAUCAAUAGAUCUAGUCGCCAUUGUUAUAAUCUUUGUAAAAUAUUAAAUCCACUUUCAUGCCAUUGCCGACAAAAAUAACAACCAGAGACCCUCCUUUUGUUUUCUUUUAGUUCUUUCUAAUUAACCACAUGGAAAAAGAAAAAAAAAGAAUUGCCACAGACACAAUCCUUUUAAAAAGAACCCUAGUGGCAAUAUUGUAUUCUUUUCCUCCUCAAUCAACAAAAGGAGAGGUAACUAAAAUUCACAUUGAAGACCAACAUAAACGCUGUUACUUUUGAGAACGAGAACAAACAGCAAUUUCGUUCCCGUCUUUUAAAAUCACAAAAGCUCAUAUUUGCAAAACCAGUACGUCCUCAACGUAACUCAACACCGAGAUAUAUAAUC
This 422-nucleotide long non-coding RNA is filed under the name Nicotiana benthamiana. RNAcentral describes it as "long non-coding RNA (NBEN_LNC016678)". The record is from RNAcentral. Lineage: Eukaryota; Viridiplantae; Streptophyta; Magnoliopsida; Solanales; Solanaceae.